UGCAAGUCGAGGGGUAUGCUUCUUCGGGAGCAGAGACCGGCGCACGGGUGCGUAACGCGUAUGCAAUCUACCUUUUACAGAGGGAUAGCCCAGAGAAAUUUGGAUUAAUACCUCAUAGUAUAUAGACUCGGCAUCGAGAUUAUAUUAAAGUCACAACGGUAAAAGAUGAGCAUGCGUCCCAUUAGCUAGUUGGUAAGGUAACGGCUUACCAAGGCUACGAUGGGUAGGGGUCCUGAGAGGGAGAUCCCCCACACUGGUACUGAGACACGGACCAGACUCCUACGGGAGGCAGCAGUGAGGAAUAUUGGACAAUGGGCGCAAGCCUGAUCCAGCCAUGCCGCGUGCAGGAUGACGGUCCUAUGGAUUGUAAACUGCUUUUGUACAGGAAGAAACACUGGUUCGUGAACCAGCUUGACGGUACUGUAAGAAUAAGGAUCGGCUAACUCCGUGCCAGCAGCCGCGGUAAUACGGAGGAUCCAAGCGUUAUCCGGAAUCAUUGGGUUUAAAGGGUCCGUAGGCGGUUUAAUAAGUCAGUGGUGAAAGCCCAUCGCUCAACGGUGGAACGGCCAUUGAUACUGUUAAACUUGAAUUAUUAGGAAGUAACUAGAAUAUGUAGUGUAGCGGUGAAAUGCUUAGAGAUUACAUGGAAUACCAAUUGCGAAGGCAGGUUACUACUAAUUGAUUGACGCUGAUGGACGAAAGCGUGGGUAGCGAACAGGAUUAGAUACCCUGGUAGUCCACGCCGUAAACGAUGGAUACUAGCUGUUGGGAGCAAUCUCAGUGGCUAAGCGAAAGUGAUAAGUAUCCCACCUGGGGAGUACGUUCGCAAGAAUGAAACUCAAAGGAAUUGACG
Molecule: ribosomal RNA, 853 nt
Filed under: Flavobacterium sp.
Lineage: Bacteria; Pseudomonadati; Bacteroidota; Flavobacteriia; Flavobacteriales; Flavobacteriaceae
Description: bacterial SSU rRNA
Rfam family: Bacterial small subunit ribosomal RNA
Source: RNAcentral